UACGAAGGGUGCAAGCGUUACUCGGAAUUUCUGGGCGUAAAGCGUGCGUAGGUGGUUUGUUAAGUCUGAUGUGAAAGCCCUGGGCUCAACCUGGGAAUUGCAUUGGAUACUGGCAGGCUAGGGUGCGGUAGAGGGUAGUGGAAUUCCCGGUGUAGCAGUGAAAUGCGUAGAGAUCGGGAGGAACAUCUGUGGCGAAGGCGACUACCUGGACCAGCACUGACACUGAGGCACGAAAGCGUGGGGAGCAAACAGGAUUAGAUACCCUGAUAGUCCACGCCCUAAACGAUGCGAACUGGAUGUUGGGCUCAACUUGGAGCUCAGUAUCGAAGCUAACGCACUAAGUAGACCGCCUGGGGAGUACGGUCGCAAGAUUAAA
This 376-nucleotide ribosomal RNA is filed under the name uncultured bacterium. Its description in RNAcentral is "bacterial SSU rRNA". It matches the Rfam family "Bacterial small subunit ribosomal RNA", at positions 524 to 898 of the family's 1533-position model. The record is from RNAcentral.